UACAGAGGGGGCAAGCGUUGUUCGGAAUUACUGGGCGUAAAGGGCGCGUAGGCGGCCCGCUAAGUCGAACGUGAAAUCCCCGAGCUCAACUCGGGAACUGCGUCCGAUACUGGCGGGCUUGAAUCCGGGAGAGGGAUGCGGAAUUCCAGGUGUAGCGGUGAAAUGCGUAGAUAUCUGGAGGAACACCGGUGGCGAAGGCGGCGUUCUGGACUGCAACUGACACUGAGGAACGAAAGCCAGGGUAGCAAACGGG
Molecule: ribosomal RNA, 253 nt
Filed under: uncultured bacterium
Lineage: Bacteria
Description: partial 16S ribosomal RNA
Rfam family: Bacterial small subunit ribosomal RNA
Source: RNAcentral